GCCUGGGUGGCUCAGUUGGUUAAGCAUCUGACUUCAGCUCAGGUCAUGAUCUCACAGUUGGUGGGUUCGAGCCCCGCAUUAGGCU
This 85-nucleotide transfer RNA is filed under the name Felis catus (domestic cat). It matches the Rfam family "tRNA". Rfam says of the family: Transfer RNA (tRNA) molecules are approximately 80 nucleotides in length. Their secondary structure includes four short double-helical elements and three loops (D, anti-codon, and T loops). Further hydrogen bonds mediate the characteristic L-shaped molecular structure. tRNAs have two regions of fundamental functional importance: the anti-codon, which is responsible for specific mRNA codon recognition, and the 3' end, to which the tRNAs corresponding amino acid is attached (by aminoacyl-tRNA synthetases). tRNAs cope with the degeneracy of the genetic code in two manners: having more than one tRNA (with a specific anti-codon) for a particular amino acid; and 'wobble' base-pairing, i.e. permitting non-standard base-pairing at the 3rd anti-codon position. RNAcentral also lists the same sequence under 2 other names. Lineage: Eukaryota; Metazoa; Chordata; Mammalia; Carnivora; Felidae. The record is from Rfam by way of RNAcentral.